AGCCUCUUGGUGUGCGCGUCAUGGCCGUCGGCACCGCGGUCCCGUCCUCUUCCGCUUGGCCCCAGAAAGUUUCGGUUCUGCCCGGCGGUGGACCCACGAGCGCGUGCCACCAUGGAGUCUGACCACUGCUGAGCAGACAGCCACCGAGGGCCGAAAUUCUGAGCCUUCCUCUGGACCCAGGCAGGAGACACACAGACAAGAAAGGCAAACUCACCAUGGCCUCCACCAAUGCAGAGAGCCAGCUCCAGAGAAUCAUCCGAGACUUGCAAGGUAUGGUAGGUUGCUGGGCAGGCUGAGUUUGGUUUUGAGGGACUUGUGGCAGGGCUUUUUGCUGUUGCCAGUUGAAAUUCAACCCUUUCAUUUUUGUUCACACAACGAGUAAUUGGAGUCCUCAGGUCACAUCAUAUUGAAAUAUUUGGGUCUCAAAUAUCCACCUUGUGUAAGGCUUGGAAAGCUUGCCUGGUUUCCUUUCAGAGAACUGUAAAGCCAGUUUGUAAACAAAAUCAUACACCCGGCUCCAGGACUGGGUCUGAUUUCCAUUAGUG
RNAcentral lists this small RNA (545 nucleotides) under Pan troglodytes (chimpanzee). RNAcentral describes it as "retained intron". The record is from RNAcentral. Lineage: Eukaryota; Metazoa; Chordata; Mammalia; Primates; Hominidae.